Molecule: ribosomal RNA, 475 nt
Filed under: Asaphis deflorata
Lineage: Eukaryota; Metazoa; Mollusca; Bivalvia; Cardiida; Psammobiidae
Description: partial 16S ribosomal RNA
Rfam family: Bacterial large subunit ribosomal RNA
Source: RNAcentral
GGCUUUUUGUUGAAAUAGAUAAGGAGUCUGGCCUGCCCGGUGGAUUUUAUCUAAACGGUCGCAGCUGUCACUGUGCUAAGGUAGCGUAGUAGGUCGUCCUUUAAUUGGGGAAAAGUAUGAAUGGUCGGAUGAUGGAGAGUCUUUAUUGGGGGUAGUGUUCAAAUUUUACUUUUAGGGUGCAAAGGCCUAAAUUUUAUUAUUAGACGAGAAGACCCUGUUGAGCUUGGUAUAUAAUAUUCUUGGUGGGUAUUAGGUAUGUUUUUUCGGGGCCGAAAGGAAGGGAUGUGAAUACCUUCCUUGUGGAUACAGAUCCGGUAAGAUCGACAAGAAGAAGAUAGUUACCACAGGGAUAACAGCGCAAUCUUUUUGUCAAGGCCUUAUUUGAGGAGGGGGUUGCGACCUCGAUGUUGAAUCAAAGUUCCUGUGAGGUGUAGCAGCUUUGUAAGUAGGACUGUUCGUCCUUUGAAACUUUACG